This 1274-nucleotide ribosomal RNA is filed under the name Salmonella enterica. RNAcentral's name for it is "partial 23S ribosomal RNA". It matches the Rfam family "Bacterial large subunit ribosomal RNA", at positions 1189 to 2445 of the family's 2925-position model. The record is from RNAcentral. Lineage: Bacteria; Pseudomonadati; Pseudomonadota; Gammaproteobacteria; Enterobacterales; Enterobacteriaceae.
AUGCACCGAAGCUGCGGCAGCGACACUAUGUGUUGUUGGGUAGGGGAGCGUUCUGUAAGCCUGUGAAGGUGUGUCGUGAGGCAUGCUGGAGGUAUCAGAAGUGCGAAUGCUGACAUAAGUAACGAUAAAGCGGGUGAAAAGCCCGCUCGCCGGAAGACCAAGGGUUCCUGUCCAACGUUAAUCGGGGCAGGGUGAGUCGACCCCUAAGGCGAGGCCGAAAGGCGUAGUCGAUGGGAAACGGGUUAAUAUUCCCGUACUUGGUGUUACUGCGAAGGGGGGACGGAGAAGGCUAUGUUGGCCGGGCGACGGUUGUCCCGGUUUAAGCGUGUAGGUGUGUGUUCCAGGUAAAUCCGGUUCACUUUAACACUGAGGCGUGACGACGAGGCACUACGGUGCUGAAGCAACAAAUGCCCUGCUUCCAGGAAAAGCCUCUAAGCAUCAGGUAACAUCAAAUCGUACCCCAAACCGACACAGGUGGUCAGGUAGAGAAUACCAAGGCGCUUGAGAGAACUCGGGUGAAGGAACUAGGCAAAAUGGUGCCGUAACUUCGGGAGAAGGCACGCUGACACGUAGGUGAAGUGAUUUACUCAUGGAGCUGAAGUCAGUCGAAGAUACCAGCUGGCUGCAACUGUUUAUUAAAAACACAGCACUGUGCAAACACGAAAGUGGACGUAUACGGUGUGACGCCUGCCCGGUGCCGGAAGGUUAAUUGAUGGGGUCAGCGCAAGCGAAGCUCCUGAUCGAAGCCCCGGUAAACGGCGGCCGUAACUAUAACGGUCCUAAGGUAGCGAAAUUCCUUGUCGGGUAAGUUCCGACCUGCACGAAUGGCGUAAUGAUGGCCAGGCUGUCUCCACCCGAGACUCAGUGAAAUUGAACUCGCUGUGAAGAUGCAGUGUACCCGCGGCAAGACGGAAAGACCCCGUGAACCUUUACUAUAGCUUGACACUGAACAUUGAGCCUUGAUGUGUAGGAUAGGUGGGAGGCUUUGAAGUGUGGACGCCAGUCUGCAUGGAGCCGACCUUGAAAUACCACCCUUUAAUGUUUGAUGUUCUAACGUGGACCCGUGAUCCGGGUUGCGGACAGUGUCUGGUGGGUAGUUUGACUGGGGCGGUCUCCUCCUAAAGAGUAACGGAGGAGCACGAAGGUUGGCUAAUCCUGGUCGGACAUCAGGAGGUUAGUGCAAUGGCAUAAGCCAGCUUGACUGCGAGCGUGACGGCGCGAGCAGGUGCGAAAGCAGGUCAUAGUGAUCCGGUGGUUCUGAAUGGAAGGGCCAU